CUCAAAUUUGAAAUCUGGCUCCUCCGGGGUCCGAGUUGUAAUUUGCAGAGGAUGCUUCGGGUGCGGUCCCCGUCUAAGUACCCUGGAAUGGGUCGUCAUAGAGGGUGAGAAUCCCGUCUGGGACGGGUGGCCGUGUCCGUGUGAAGCUCCUUCGACGAGUCGAGUUGUUUGGGAAUGCAGCUCUAAAUGGGUGGUAAAUUUCAUCUAAAGCUAAAUAUUGGCCGGAGACCGAUAGCGCACAAGUAGAGUGAUCGAAAGAUGAAAAGCACUUUGAAAAGAGAGUUAAACAGCACGUGAAAUUGUUGAAAGGGAAGCGCUUGCGACCAGACUCGCCCGCGGGGGUUCAGCCGGUACUCGUACCGGUGUACUCCCCCGUGGGCGGGCCAGCGUCGGUUUGGGCGGCCGGUCAAAGGCCUCCGGAAUGUAUCGCCCUUCGGGGCGUCUUAUAGCCGGGGGUGCAAUGCGGCCAGCCUGGACCGAGGAACGCGCUUCGGCUCGGACGCUGGCGUAAUGGUCGUAAGCG
Molecule: ribosomal RNA, 523 nt
Filed under: Paecilomyces maximus
Lineage: Eukaryota; Fungi; Ascomycota; Eurotiomycetes; Eurotiales; Thermoascaceae
Description: partial large subunit ribosomal RNA
Rfam family: Eukaryotic large subunit ribosomal RNA
Source: RNAcentral